AAAGUUUUCGACGCUAUUUUUGUAUGUGAAAGCUGAUCUCAUCAUUUUCUAAAAGUAGGUACAGAAAACUUACCAAUAUUAUUUAAACCUAAUGUAAUCUGUUUUGGAAUUCUUAUUUGGAUUUCAUGAUGUGUAAACUAACAGUGUUGAUAAUUCAGGUGUCUUGAUAUAUUUUUUGUUGUUUGAGUUGUUUCCCUUGGUUUUCCGCAAUAUCACUAGUUUUGUCUAUGUUUAAGCGGCUUUGUUUGUAAAAAGUUCAAAGUGUUCUUAAUUUAUUGGAAAUAUGGAUUAUUGAUAGUUGAAGUUACAGCAGAGAGAGAGUUUGACAGUAUGCGUGUUUGAAGAAGAUAAUGCUAUUAUUGGUACAUUCAAUUCCACGAACUGAGUGUUGAUUUCCUCGAUUUCAUUGACUCGAUGAUUCAUUCUCUGAUUGAUGAUUUGUUGAAUGUUGAUUGAAUGUUCUAAUGAUCAAUCAACUUAUUGAUUUACUGAUUGAUUGGACAUGUCAUGGAGCUUAAUAUAGAUGGAGAAGUAACUUAGACGUCAUACAGUUAAAUUCAGUAUUAUUGGGGUUGUUCUAACGCAAGUUAUCAUGUGUUUCGGGAUUUUCCAAGAUUUGUUGCAUCCUGGGUAAUAGUAGCCAAAAUACCGCCAUAUUGAAUUCCAAGAGGAACAUUGACAAAAAAAAGACGAAGCAUUUUCUACUUACAUAAGAAGCAAUAGUUAUUUAUGUUAAAACGUACCAUACACACUUUUCCACACAGAUAUUUCUCAAAAAAAAAAAAAAACAAUGUCGGCAAUGUAAACAGUAGUUCAUGGAUAUCGCCGAAGUUUAACGAGAGUGCGAGAAUCGGGGACUAGUGGGAAAACCCGAUUAUUACCGAAGCGCACUGUGGAUCUGAAUCUGACUAUCAACUAUUUUCUGAGCUUCCUAUCCAUUGUAUAUAUAUCUGUGGUAUCUGUGGACAUGUAAGACGAAUAUAUGUGAACUGUAAGAUGUUGAAAUGUGCAAAGUUGUUUGUUUAGAAGAGAAAAACACAAUUUUUGGAGAAACUUUUUGUUUGAAUGAUCAAGGUAUAAACACUUUUU
Ruditapes philippinarum (Manila clam) is the source of this 1089-nucleotide long non-coding RNA. RefSeq lists it as uncharacterized. The transcript has 3 exons. NCBI's taxonomy places the organism in Eukaryota, Metazoa, Mollusca, Bivalvia, Venerida, Veneridae. The record is from RefSeq and is a predicted model, not a curated record.